GUUGGUAUCAAAGAACCGAAGGGUAAGCCACUUUAGGAUCAGAUCCAGGCAGCUGAUGACACCAUCUUUCUCAUUUUCCAAAUGCUCAAUCAUAACAGCCAGUGCUUUGUUGUGGUGCUGGAAGUCUGCAUGAAACAUCUCAUCCUGUAACCAUUUGGCCACACAACUGGACAUCUGAGUUUUCAGCUGUUCAAUGUAUUCAUCACGAGGAGUAGUGAAGUUCCACUUCAACACCUUCAGUCCUUUCUCAUCUUUCAUUCUCUGUUCUUUCCCAUUUGGGACUAUGAUAAAAAUGGGACCCGAUUUGUCAUCAUCCUCCUUCAAAGUAGGCUUGUUUAAUACUUUCUUCCCCUGUACACCCUUAGUUUUAGAAGAAGCUCCUCCUACUUUGGCUUUUUUGGGAUCAGGCUUCGAUUCCAUGGUAUUUGACCCUGAAUCUUCAGCAAGAGCUGACGCAGGUUGGAAAGGAUUUUCUUUUUUCAACUCCUCAGAUAGGUCUUCUCCUUC
This 507-nucleotide long non-coding RNA is filed under the name Gallus gallus (chicken). Lineage: Eukaryota; Metazoa; Chordata; Aves; Galliformes; Phasianidae. The record is from RNAcentral.